GGCGGCGUGCUUAACACAUGCAAGUCGAGCGGAAAGGCCCUUCGGGGUACUCGAGCGGCGAACGGGUGAGUAACACGUGAGCAACCUGCCCUAGGCUUUGGGAUAACCCUCGGAAACGGGGGCUAAUACCGAAUAUUACACCUGGACGCAUGGUCUUGGGUGGAAAGUUUUUCGGCCUGGGAUGGGCUCGCGGCCUAUCAGCUUGUUGGUGGGGUGAUGGCCUACCAAGGCGACGACGGGUAGCCGGCCUGAGAGGGCGACCGGCCACACUGGGACUGAGACACGGCCCAGACUCCUACGGGAGGCAGCAGUGGGGAAUAUUGCACAAUGGGCGGAAGCCUGAUGCAGCGACGCCGCGUGAGGGAUGACGGCCUUCGGGUUGUAAACCUCUUUCAGCAGGGACGAAGCGCAAGUGACGGUACCUGCAGAAGAAGCGCCGGCCAACUACGUGCCAGCGGCCGCGGUAAGACGUAGGGCGCGAGCGUUGUCCGGAUUUAUUGGGCGUAAAGAGCUCGUAGGCGGCUUGUCGCGUCGACUGUGAAAACCCGCGGCUCAACUGCGGGCCUGCAGUCGAUACGGGCAGGCUAGAGUUCGGUAGGGGAGACUGGAAUUCCUGGUGUAGCGGUGAAAUGCGCAGAUAUCAGGAGGAACACCGGUGGCGAAGGCGGGUCUCUGGGCCGAUACUGACGCUGAGGAGCGAAAGCGUGGGGAGCGAACAGGAUUAGAUACCCUGGUAGUCCACGCUGUAAACGUUGGGCGCUAGGUGUGGGGGGCCUCUCCGGUUCCCUGUGCCGCAGCUAACGCAUUAAGCGCCCCGCCUGGGGAGUACGGCCGC
This 835-nucleotide ribosomal RNA is filed under the name Verrucosispora sp. IM-0835. RNAcentral's name for it is "bacterial SSU rRNA". It matches the Rfam family "Bacterial small subunit ribosomal RNA", at positions 38 to 889 of the family's 1533-position model. The record is from RNAcentral. Lineage: Bacteria; Bacillati; Actinomycetota; Actinomycetes; Micromonosporales; Micromonosporaceae.